AGCGAGCUCCCUCCCACGCCGCGGCUGCUACUCCGAGGGCGGCGCGGAGCCCGGCCUUGGCCUUGGCCUCCGGGCGCCGGGGCUGCUGCCGCCGCGGGGCUUGCUGCUGCGCCUGCCGCUGCCGGGCCCGAGGCUGCCGCCGCCGCCGCUCGGGGACGCCAGGCUCCGGUGCCUUCGGUGCCUUCGCUCCCGCUCCCACGUUCACAACCCCGAGGGCCGGGGAGAGGCGUCCGCGCGAGGUCGGAAUUGGGAUUAAUAACAAGCGGCCGGCGGAGCUGGGGGGACUGGCGGGGCGUCACACGUCCACGUCCACAGAGCCAUGCUGCGGAGGAGGCCGGCGAACCCUCCUCGCCCGGUGUUCCUGCCGGACGCGGCGCCGUUUGCCGCUCGCAGGCCUGAGGCGGCCUGAGCGGGAAGCGCUGCUCGGGAGCUAACGAGACGUCAGUCUUGAUACAUCAUCAAAAGCAUAGUCUUUCGAAGAAGGUUUAUCAGAUACCUCUUUAUCCUUGUUCUGUAUAUGUUCAGGUGUCCAGCAGACAUUUUGCUGCUGCUACAAAGUAAGUAACUUUUUUUUAUUAAUUUUGUUUGCUUUUAUUGAAAAUUU
Molecule: long non-coding RNA, 604 nt
Filed under: Canis lupus dingo (dingo)
Lineage: Eukaryota; Metazoa; Chordata; Mammalia; Carnivora; Canidae
Description: lncRNA (ENSCAFG00020011086.1)
Source: RNAcentral